This 482-nucleotide ribosomal RNA is filed under the name uncultured bacterium. Its description in RNAcentral is "SSU rRNA". It matches the Rfam family "Bacterial small subunit ribosomal RNA", at positions 26 to 523 of the family's 1533-position model. The record is from RNAcentral.
AGGAUGAACGCUGGCGGCGUGCCUAACACAUGCAAGUCGAACGUCCUGUCUCGCAAGAGGCAGGGAGUGGCGGACGGGUGAGUACCACGUGGGUCAUCUACCGUGAGGUGAGGAAUACCGGCGAGAAAUCGCCGACAAGACCGCAUAGCCUCGGUGCAAGCCGAGGAAAGCUCUUUCGAGAGAGGGAGCGCCACACGAGGAGCCUGCGCCCGAUUAGCUAGCUGGUGGAGUAACGGUUCACCAGGGCGACGAUCGGUAGCUGGUCUGAGAGGACGAUCAGCCACACUGGGAUUGAGAACGGCCCAGACUCCUACGGGGGGCAGCAGUGAGGAAUUUUCGUCAAUGGGGGCAACCCUGAACGAGCAACGCCGCGUGCAGGAAGAAGGUUUUCGGAUCGUAAACUGCUUUUCGUCGGGGAAGAGAACGGACGGUACCCGAGGAAUCGACGCCCCGGCUAACGUACGUGCCAGCAGCCGCGGUAA